This 1268-nucleotide ribosomal RNA is filed under the name metagenome. RNAcentral describes it as "bacterial LSU rRNA". It matches the Rfam family "Bacterial large subunit ribosomal RNA", at positions 1639 to 2925 of the family's 2925-position model. The record is from RNAcentral.
UGCCUGUACCAUAACCGACACAGGUGGGUAGGUAGAGUAUACUAAGGGGCGCGAGAUAACUCUCUCUAAGGAACUCGGCAAAAUGACUCCGUAACUUCGGGAGAAGGAGUGCCUUAUUUAUAAGGUUGCAAUAACAAGAUCCAAGCAACUGUUUAUCAAAAACACAGGUCUCCGCUAAGUCGUAAGACGAUGUAUGGGGGCUGACGCCUGCCCAGUGCCAGAAGGUUAAAGAAGUUGGUUAGUGUAUGCGAAGCUGAUGACUGAAGCCCUGGUGAACGGCGGCCGUAACGAUAACGGUCCUAAGGUAGCGAAAUUCCUUGUCGGGUAAGUUCCGACCCGCACGAAAGGCGUAAUGAUUUGGAUACUGUCUCGGAGAGAGGCUCGGUGAAAUAGACUUGUCUGUGAAGAUGCGGACUACCUGCACCAGGACAGAAAGACCCUAUGAAGCUUUACUGUAACUUGAAAUUGGAAUUGGACUUUGCUUGCGCAGUAUAGGUGGGAAGCGUUGAAGAUAUUCUUGCGGGAGUAUUGGAGCUAUCAGUGAGAUACCACUCUUGUAAUGUUAGAUUUCUAACUUUGAACCAUAAUCUGGUCAAAGAACAGUUUCAGGUGGGCAGUUUGACUGGGGCGGUCGCCUCCCAAAUGGUAACGGAGGCGUACAAAGGUUUCCUCUGAACGGAUAGAAAUCGUAUCUAGAGUGUAAAGGCAUAAGGAAGCUUGACUGUGAGACCUACAAGUCGAGCAGGGACGAAAGUCGGUCUUAGUGAUCUGACGGUACUGAGUGGAAAGGCCGUCACUCAACGGAUAAAAGUUACUCUAGGAUAACAGGCUGAUCUCCCCCAAGAGUUCACAUCGACGGGGAGGUUUGGCACCUCGAUGUCGGCUCAUCGCAUCCUGGGGCGGUAGUACGUCCCAAGGGUUGGGCUGUUCGCCCAUGAAAGCGGUACGCGAGCUGGGUUCAGAACGUCGUGAGACAGUUCGGUCCAUAUCCGGUGUAGGCGUUAGAAUAUUGAGAGGAGCCUUCUUUAGUACGAGAGGACCGAGAAGGACACACCGCUGGUGUACCAGUUAUCGUGCCAACGGUAAACGCUGGGUAGCUAUGUGUGGAGUGGAUAACCGCUGAAAGCAUCUAAGUGGGAAGCCCACCUCAAGAUGAGUAUUCUCAUCACUAUAAGUGAGUAAGGUCACGGUAAGACUAACCGUUUGAUAGGCAUUAAGUGUAAAUGUAGUAAUGCAUGUGCUGAGAUGUCCUAACAGACCGAGGACUU